Molecule: ribosomal RNA, 253 nt
Filed under: uncultured prokaryote
Description: partial 16S ribosomal RNA
Rfam family: Bacterial small subunit ribosomal RNA
Source: RNAcentral
UACGUAGGGUGCGAGCGUUGUCCGGAAUUACUGGGCGUAAAGAGCUCGUAGGUGGUUUGUCGCGUUGUUCGUGAAAACCUGAGGCUUAACCUUGGGCGUGCGGGCGAUACGGGCAGACUGGAGUACUGCAGGGGAGACUGGAAUUCCUGGUGUAGCGGUGGAAUGCGCAGAUAUCAAGAGGAACACCUGCGGCGAAGGCGGGUUGCUGGGCUGACACUGACGCUGAAGCGCGAAAGCUAGGGGAGCGAACGGG